This 1287-nucleotide ribosomal RNA is filed under the name Triticum aestivum (bread wheat). Its description in RNAcentral is "partial small subunit ribosomal RNA". The record is from RNAcentral. Lineage: Eukaryota; Viridiplantae; Streptophyta; Magnoliopsida; Poales; Poaceae.
AUGGACCAUACAGAUGUCAGUGUGCUACCUGAUGAUCUAGUUGUGGAAAUCCUCUCCCGGCUGCCGCUCAAGUCUUUUUGCCGCUUCAAAUGUGUCUGCAAACCCUGGCUUGCCUUCUCCUCUGAUCCAAACUACCGCAAGAAGCUGCCGAAAAUCCCCAUUGGUAUUUUCUGCCAGUACCAAGACUUCGAUAAGAAGGCUACCAAGCUUCUUAGCCAGCCCCAAAACGUUGAGAAAAUUGAUGGAGCACUUAGUUUCUUGCCACACCAUCUGCAACUGGAGCUUAUGGAUUGCUGCAAUGGCCUAGUGCUCUGCAUGCAUAGGAGCAUGGAUUGGAGCAGGCGUACAAUUACUUGCCACUUCAUUAUGUGCAACCCGGCAACACAAGAGUGGACGAGGCUUCCUGAUACUCGUCCUUACCAAGAACACGAUGUUUGUGAAGCUAUGUUGGCUUUCAACCCGUCAUGUUCCCGGCAGUUCUACGUCUUCAACUUUAGACGGAAUCCUUUAUCUUCAUUCUUUAGUGGACUUGAGGUGUUUUCGUCUGACCUUUCAACAUGGCUCGUAUAUGAUGCAUGGUGGAAUUCCGGGAUACGCACUAUUAUUGGUUACCCACACUUGUUCAUAGAUGGUUCAUUGUAUCUGUUUAGUCUGCGGCAGAACUCAGUGGAGAGGAUCCUGGUACUGAACGGCUUUGAGGCAAUGAGUUCUCGCAUACCGCCUAAUCGUCGAACUAUUAAGUUGCCUUGUGACCAUUCUGUUGAGCCUCUGAAUGGCCUUCUUGUGCAUAUGUACACCCGCGGUUACUUUGGCAAAUCUCGGGGGGCCAUUUACUAUGCAUUGCCAGAGGAGGAUGGGCUUGCGGUCCAGAUCUGGAGUCUUGAUGUUUCUGGGCCUUGCAAGUGGACUGUGAAGUAUCAUCUUAGUAUGAGGGAUGCAUUUGGACGGAACGACCUUGCUCACUAUGACUCUGCUCAACAGUGCUGGAAUUGCGCGUAUGAGAUUGCUGCUAUUGACUUGGAGAGAGAAGCUAUCUUCCUGUUUGACUGUCGGGCGAACAAGCUCCGUUCAUACGCCAUGAGCAAUGGGGAACUUCAUGAACUCGAUGAAAUUGAACAAGAUCAUGAGCAUGUCUAUGAGAAGUUCUACCACUAUGUGGCGUGCUACUCAAGGCUUCCAGCUUAUGUGCCUUUACCUCGCCCACAUUUGUUGGAAGCGAAGAGGCUUGAUCGGCGGACGUGGCGGUCGAAAUUGCUAGCAAUUGUUGGAAAAUCAAGCUGGAGAUAA